Molecule: long non-coding RNA, 2573 nt
Filed under: Homo sapiens (human)
Lineage: Eukaryota; Metazoa; Chordata; Mammalia; Primates; Hominidae
Description: HSALNT0021549
Source: RNAcentral
UCAGCCAUCACCUCCGUGCUCCUGGGGCUUUCCCCACUGGGGCUGGGAUCGACUUUGGGGCGUGGAGGGAGGAGGGUGAUGGAAGAGAAUUCCCCUCUUCCUGCAGGUCUUCCUUCCUGACCUCGAGUGACCGACCACUCCCUUCCCCAGUCUUUCUCCCCAUUCCCAGGCCCACUCUGAUGUGCUGGCAGGGUAGGAGGGGAGCGGGAGAGUAGAUAGCUUUCACUCACAACUGAGGCAGUCUAACAGCUGUCCUCUGCAGGCGCAGGGGUGGUCACUUGCCUUGGCUGCAUGAAAAAGUAGUCAGAGAUUAGCGUAUGGGCAUGGCCUAGGGGAUGAAGGACCGGAGGCCCAGUCUGGCCCCCAGGAGAGUGACCAGUUGGGCCCCUCCCAGAAUGACUUCACUGGGGCCCAAACAUGGGAGCCAGUGCAGGGUCAGACCCCCUAACUUCACCUCCACAACCUCAUUAUCCAGAGAUCCAGGCAACACUGGACAAGGCUGAGCCCCUAAAUCACACCCAACGGCUUUAUCUGCCCCUCUCAGCAGACCCAGUACUUUUAGCCAGUGACUGUUAUUUUUCAGGGUCAACCGCCAACUCAGUUUUCCCAUUCUGAUUCAUCAAACACAGGUGGAGGCCUGCGGCUGAAGCAAACGGUAGAUGUCAAAGUGUGGUCCCCGGACCAGCAGGAUCAGCAUCAUUAGAAACACCAGUUCUCAGGCUCCAUCCCAUAUGUGCUGAAUCAGAAGCUCUGGGAAAGGGGUCCAGCAGUCUUCUGUUUCAACAAACCCUCCAGGUGAUGCUGGUGCACACUCAGAGUUGAGAACAGGACUGCAGGGCCUAUCUAUCUGUCCUCAGCUGGGCCCUUUCUUCAACUCCUUCACUGGCAGGAUAAAGGCCACUUAAGGGCCUCACUCCUUCGCCCAGACUGGAGAGCAAUGGUGCUAUCCGGGCUUGAAACGCCAGGCUCAAGUGAUCCUCCCAUCUCAGCCUCCCAAGAAGCUGGGACUACAGGCAUGCAUCACCAUGCCUGGCUAAUUUGUUGUUGUUGUAAAGACAGGGUCUCCCUAUGUGGCAUAGGCAUGCUGGUCUCAAAUGCCUGGGCUUGUGCAGUUAUCGCUCCUUGGCCUCUCAAAGUGUUGGGAUUACAGGUGUGAACCACCAUGCCCAGCCAUUUCUUUUUUCUCUUCUUUCUUUGCUCACAGACUUAUCUGGCUGUCAUUUCAACUGGCAAUUCUAAGUAGAUGGCUCCAAUAGGACUUUUAUCCCCCAGCUUCCUCAAACUCCAGGUCUGCAUUUUUAGCAGCUCCCCCAAUGCCGAAGAUGCACCCCACAUCCCAUCAUCCAAACUCAAACUCUCCUUCCUCCACAUUUCCCAAACCAGCCACCACCACCUCCUGACUCCUGACAUCAUCCUGUUACCAUGGUUUCUAAGAUCUUUACCAUCCCCUCACAUUUAUGGUCACGUUUCCUGGUUAAAAACUCAACAUGGCCCUGUGAAUGCAAAGUCCCUGUGGAUCCAAGUAAAACGGAUCCACCAGGACUAGUCUUCAAAAUCAAUAGCCACCAUUCUGUGCAGGAAUCCAUUGCCAGGUGGAAUGCUUGGGCCUUCAUGUCCUCUGGAUUCUAGAGUCUAAAGGGAAGGGCAGGCUUUUAUAGACUCUGCUCGACAUUUGCUGAAGAUUGGGAGCUCCUCAGGGAAUGACUCAGCCCUCCUUGGGCAAAACAGAUAAUAAAUCAGACAAAAUCAGUUCUUUUAUGAGCAACUUGCUAUUGCUGGGUCACUCACUCUAUGCUAAAUGACCCUCUGGGAAGAGUUUCUAUGUUCAUAGUCCUCUGAGACAACAACUACUUUGUGAUGACAGCAGUUAAUGGAUGUUUGAAUCAAAGACAGAGAGAGAUAUAGGGUAAGGGCUAAGGUUAGGGUCCAGGGUCAAGGGCAGUGGCCAGCAUCACGGGGAGGAUUGGGGUCAGGAGGCCACGUGUGAAUGGCUGGAAGCCAUCCUGCUCCCUGCAAGGACAAACCUAUGCCAAAACUGUUCUCAUCUUCAGCCUCUCUUGCUACCAGGAACACCUGACCUCUCACUGCUUCACACCUCACACCCUCCUUCCCAACCCAGAACGACAGCCAUUGUCACCAAGGCCCUCGUGGCAGUACCUGCUGAACCCAGGACUGGCUGUAGGACGCGGAAUGGGGCAAGUAAAGAACCUUCCUUGGAAAUGAAAAUACUUCGUCCUGUCCUGUUCUUCCGAAAACAGAACCUUCCCCGACUCUGCCCUGCCACCUCCCAGAAUCAGAGGACCUGGGUUUCAGCCCCAUUUCUCACUGACCAGCUACAGAACUUACUACAAGAUAACAAGCCCUUUUUGUGUCCUGGUUUCUUCACCUGAAAACAAAACUCGUAAAAUGUUCCCUGCUCACUGUACAGGAUUGAUGUAAUGACGAUAAUGUGCUUGUGUGAAAGCAGUUCACUGUUGACAAGUCACUCUCGUUACAUCAUCUACUUGGAUCUUUACAAACCACCGUGUCAGAUAGGCAAGGAGAGCAUUUGAUACUCUUUUAUGGAUGAAGAA